RNAcentral lists this ribosomal RNA (1550 nucleotides) under Enterobacter sp. RHBSTW-01064. RNAcentral describes it as "bacterial SSU rRNA". It matches the Rfam family "Bacterial small subunit ribosomal RNA". Lineage: Bacteria; Pseudomonadati; Pseudomonadota; Gammaproteobacteria; Enterobacterales; Enterobacteriaceae. The record is from RNAcentral.
AAAUUGAAGAGUUUGAUCAUGGCUCAGAUUGAACGCUGGCGGCAGGCCUAACACAUGCAAGUCGAGCGGUAGCACAGAGAGCUUGCUCUCGGGUGACGAGCGGCGGACGGGUGAGUAAUGUCUGGGAAACUGCCUGAUGGAGGGGGAUAACUACUGGAAACGGUAGCUAAUACCGCAUAACGUCGCAAGACCAAAGAGGGGGACCUUCGGGCCUCUUGCCAUCAGAUGUGCCCAGAUGGGAUUAGCUAGUAGGUGGGGUAACGGCUCACCUAGGCGACGAUCCCUAGCUGGUCUGAGAGGAUGACCAGCCACACUGGAACUGAGACACGGUCCAGACUCCUACGGGAGGCAGCAGUGGGGAAUAUUGCACAAUGGGCGCAAGCCUGAUGCAGCCAUGCCGCGUGUAUGAAGAAGGCCUUCGGGUUGUAAAGUACUUUCAGCGGGGAGGAAGGUGUUGAGGUUAAUAACCUCAGCAAUUGACGUUACCCGCAGAAGAAGCACCGGCUAACUCCGUGCCAGCAGCCGCGGUAAUACGGAGGGUGCAAGCGUUAAUCGGAAUUACUGGGCGUAAAGCGCACGCAGGCGGUCUGUCAAGUCGGAUGUGAAAUCCCCGGGCUCAACCUGGGAACUGCAUUCGAAACUGGCAGGCUAGAGUCUUGUAGAGGGGGGUAGAAUUCCAGGUGUAGCGGUGAAAUGCGUAGAGAUCUGGAGGAAUACCGGUGGCGAAGGCGGCCCCCUGGACAAAGACUGACGCUCAGGUGCGAAAGCGUGGGGAGCAAACAGGAUUAGAUACCCUGGUAGUCCACGCCGUAAACGAUGUCGACUUGGAGGUUGUGCCCUUGAGGCGUGGCUUCCGGAGCUAACGCGUUAAGUCGACCGCCUGGGGAGUACGGCCGCAAGGUUAAAACUCAAAUGAAUUGACGGGGGCCCGCACAAGCGGUGGAGCAUGUGGUUUAAUUCGAUGCAACGCGAAGAACCUUACCUACUCUUGACAUCCAGAGAACUUAGCAGAGAUGCUUUGGUGCCUUCGGGAACUCUGAGACAGGUGCUGCAUGGCUGUCGUCAGCUCGUGUUGUGAAAUGUUGGGUUAAGUCCCGCAACGAGCGCAACCCUUAUCCUUUGUUGCCAGCGGUUCGGCCGGGAACUCAAAGGAGACUGCCAGUGAUAAACUGGAGGAAGGUGGGGAUGACGUCAAGUCAUCAUGGCCCUUACGAGUAGGGCUACACACGUGCUACAAUGGCGCAUACAAAGAGAAGCGACCUCGCGAGAGCAAGCGGACCUCAUAAAGUGCGUCGUAGUCCGGAUUGGAGUCUGCAACUCGACUCCAUGAAGUCGGAAUCGCUAGUAAUCGUAGAUCAGAAUGCUACGGUGAAUACGUUCCCGGGCCUUGUACACACCGCCCGUCACACCAUGGGAGUGGGUUGCAAAAGAAGUAGGUAGCUUAACCUUCGGGAGGGCGCUUACCACUUUGUGAUUCAUGACUGGGGUGAAGUCGUAACAAGGUAACCGUAGGGGAACCUGCGGUUGGAUCACCUCCUUACCUUAAAGAA